ACGAACGCUGGCGGCGUGCCUAAUACAUGCAAGUCGAGCGGAAUGAUGAAGAAGCUUGCUUCUUCUGAUUUUAGCGGCGGACGGGUGAGUAACACGUGGGCAACCUACCUUGUAGAUUGGGAUAACUCCGGGAAACCGGGGCUAAUACCGAAUAAUCCAUUUUGCUUCAUGGCGAGAUGUUGAAAGACGGUUUCGGCUGUCACUAUAAGAUGGGCCCGCGGCGCAUUAGCUAGUUGGUAGGGUAAUGGCCUACCAAGGCGACGAUGCGUAGCCGACCUGAGAGGGUGAUCGGCCACACUGGGACUGAGACACGGCCCAGACUCCUACGGGAGGCAGCAGUAGGGAAUCUUCCACAAUGGACGAAAGUCUGAUGGAGCAACGCCGCGUGAGUGAAGAAGGUUUUCGGAUCGCAAAACUCUGUUGUAAGGGAAGAACACGUACGAGAGUAACUGCUCGUACCUUGACGGUACCUUAUUAGAAAGCCACGGCUAACUACGUG
This 499-nucleotide ribosomal RNA is filed under the name uncultured bacterium. RNAcentral describes it as "bacterial SSU rRNA". It matches the Rfam family "Bacterial small subunit ribosomal RNA", at positions 29 to 507 of the family's 1533-position model. The record is from RNAcentral.